This is a long non-coding RNA of Saccostrea cuccullata (small rock oyster), 1189 nucleotides long. RefSeq lists it as uncharacterized. The record is from RefSeq and is a predicted model, not a curated record. Lineage: Eukaryota; Metazoa; Mollusca; Bivalvia; Ostreida; Ostreidae. The transcript has 3 exons.
GCAGAUGUCCCAAACUGGACACUGAUAGAAACAACUGGAUGAUGCAUAGCCAGUACAUGCUGAUCUUCCAAGAUGUGGAUACAACAAAUGCACCCAACAGUACGUGGUGAAAACAGUAGAUGCACCCAAAAGGACCUGAUAGAAACAACUGGAGGAUGAAUAGCCAAAGGAUGCUGAUGAUCCCGAUCUGACAUUUAGCUGAGCUGCAGCUAACAGAACUUUGUGAAAGCAAUUGGAAUAGACAAGCUUGAUGAACCUCUUUUAAGAUGGGAAAACAGCAAAUACCUUCAAAAGGACUUAGUGAAAAAAUCUUGAGGAGGCACGGCCAUUAUGAAUCUUGAGUCGAACUUGAUGGACAUUGUUUUUCCAAUAUGUGAAAACACCAGCUACACCCAAAAGGAAUUGGUGGAAACAAUGAACACAGAUAAGCCUGAUGGACAAUGAUCUUCAAAAUGUGGAAACCACAAGAUGCCCCCAACAAGACUUAAAGGAAACACCUGGAGGACAAUGCCUGAUGGAUGUUGACUUUUCCACCCAGACCUACCACUGGAGAUAGCUGACACUGAUCAGAAAAUCAAAGAAACUUUAGAAGGAACAUCCUAAGUGAGAUGAUAUGUGUGGAUGCAGAAGUAGGACUUAAUUGAUGCAGGAUUAAUCCACAUCUUCAAAGCACUGAUCUAAAUGCAAUCUAGUAACAAUGUUUUUUUCAAAGACUAUUUUUAAAAUAUUUUUGUAAAGGGUGUCCGAAUUAUGUCAGGGUAUGGGGUCGCCCAUUCGGACACGUGGGUUCUCUACGGGUACUCCGUCUUCCUCCCACACUGACCCCCCGCUUUUCUCUUUCUUCAUUAUUAUGCCAAUGAGAUGAUAGUUCAUUAUUGUAAUUGUUUAGAUGAAGUUAAAUAUGUUGCAGAUGUAAUGAUUGUUAAAUAUGACAUAAGUAUUCACAGAAUGUGUAAAUUCUGUCAGCUGUUGUAAAAAGAAUAAUUUGUAUAGUCACCAUUUCGUUAUUAGCUUAUAGUGAAAUCCAAUCCAUUAUAUACUGAUAUGACUUUAUUAUGCAGUGAAAGAAAUGAAUAUAAAAUUGUAAAAUUGCAUUUGAAAAUGUAAAAUAGUGAAUUGCCUCUAAAAAUGUUAAAUUGUGAUUUGUUAAUGUUAAAUCAUUGAUUUAAAAUGUUAAAUUGUGAUUUUU